This is a long non-coding RNA of Spinacia oleracea (spinach), 636 nucleotides long. RefSeq lists it as uncharacterized. The record is from RefSeq and is a predicted model, not a curated record. The transcript is spliced from 4 exons. NCBI's taxonomy places the organism in Eukaryota, Viridiplantae, Streptophyta, Magnoliopsida, Caryophyllales, Amaranthaceae.
UGAAAUUCAAGGGCUAAGAUUAACCUCCCACCUACCAAAUAAUAAAAGGCAGUCGUUUCUCCUAAAACUAAUAUCAGAUGUUCUCUCUCUCCCUCUCUCUAAAAUUCUCUCUCUCACCAUUUUCUCUCUCCUCAAAAAAUUGCCAUUAAAGCUUAGAAAAGGUCGAUGAAGCUUCAAUUCGCUGAUUUCAGAAGGAGAACAAUCCUAAAAUCUGGGUGAAAAACCUACGAACGGAGAAGGAAAAAUAUGAAAAGUGAAGAUGAAAUUGCGAAAAAAAAUUGUCGAAAAACACAAUUCAGAUUCAGAAGAUCGAGAAGAAUCGUAGUUUGAGAAAAUGAAGAUAUUGAAGGUUGAGUAUUGUGGCAAGAUAUUGGCGCGUAGGGAAAAUGAUGGACAUCAUGUUAUGAUUCCAAAGUCAAAGAAAUGGGCAACAAAGAAUCAAAUUUUUAACGGGAUCAUAGUGUCUUUGUAACAUCAAAUGUUGAAUUUCUUGUAAAUACUUUAUGUUGAAUUCGUAAAAUUGGUAAACCGACAAUUUCGAUAUUAGUUGGUUUUUAUCAACUUGUAAUGAUUCAUUUGCUUGAAGUUUUAACCUUGUUUGAAGUUUAUUUUGACGAAUAGACUCGUGAUGUGAUA